CACGUAGGGCGCAAGCGUUGUCCGGAAUUAUUGGGCGUAAAGAGCUCGUAGGCGGUCUGUUACGUCUGCUGUGAAAACCCUGGGCUUAACCCUGGGCUUGCAGUGGAUACGGGCAGACUAGAGGCAGGUAGGGGAGAAUGGAAUUCCCGGUGUAGCGGUGAAAUGCGCAGAUAUCGGGAGGAACACCGGUGGCGAAGGCGGCCCUCUGGACGGUGACUGACGCUGAGACGCGAAAGCGUGGGGAGCAAACAGG
Molecule: ribosomal RNA, 253 nt
Filed under: uncultured bacterium
Lineage: Bacteria
Description: partial 16S ribosomal RNA
Rfam family: Bacterial small subunit ribosomal RNA
Source: RNAcentral